CCUACGGGAGGCAGCAGUGAGGAAUAUUGGUCAAUGGACGCAAGUCUGAACCAGCCAUGCCGCGUGCAGGAAGACGGCUCUAUGAGUUGUAAACUGCUUUUGUACGAGGGUAAACGCAGAUACGCGUAUCUGUCUGAAAGUAUCGUACGAAUAAGGAUCGGCUAACUCCGUGCCAGCAGCCGCGGUAAUACGGAGGAUUCAAGCGUUAUCCGGAUUUAUUGGGUUUAAAGGGUGCGUAGGCGGUCGGAUAAGUUAGAGGUGAAAUCCCGAGGCUCAACUUUGGAAUUGCCUCUCAUACUGUUCGUCUAGAGAGUAGUUGCGGUAGGCGGAAUGUAUGGUGUAGCGGUGAAAUGCUUAGAGAUCAUACAGAACACCGAUUGCGAAGGCAGCUUACCAAGCUACUUCUGACGUUGAGGCACGAAAGCGUGGGGAGCAAACAGGAUUAGAUACCCCUGUAGUC
Molecule: ribosomal RNA, 460 nt
Filed under: uncultured bacterium
Lineage: Bacteria
Description: partial 16S ribosomal RNA
Rfam family: Bacterial small subunit ribosomal RNA
Source: RNAcentral